Vicia faba (fava bean) is the source of this 234-nucleotide non-coding RNA. The record is from the annotation of a GenBank genome assembly. Lineage: Eukaryota; Viridiplantae; Streptophyta; Magnoliopsida; Fabales; Fabaceae.
AUGGUUAGUGAUAGUGAUGCUAAUAAUGUUUAUAAAUUUGUUGUUGAAAUGAAAUAUGUAGUGGAUAUAUAUGUCGAGCAUAAAGUAGUUGAUGAUUGUGUUAAUGCUAAUGAUGAUGAUGGUGCUGUUAAUGUUGAUUAUGGUGUUAAUGUUAAUAUUGAGGAUGCUAAUGAUAUAUCAUUUGAUGAUACUGAGGAUGUGAGGGCUCUUGGGUUGGAUGAGAGAUUUGAUUGA